CCUCCACUCUUCCUCCAGUGGCACAAUGUGAUUCACUGGCAAGGGAGGGUGCCAGCAGAAGGCAUCCUCUAUAAGAUAAGUCUUAUAAAAUAUAUAGAUUUAUGAUAAUUAAGACUGAGCUAGCAGAUGAGAAUCCUAGUCAUUGGCUAAGCAGCAUUGUACCUAAUACAAGUCUCUCUGUGCAUUAAUUGGGGCCCUAACUCAGGCAGGCGGCUGGCAUAAAGCGCAUAUGUGGCGGUAGGGCUCACGCAGCUUUGGCAGAAAGUUUUAUUGCAACACAGGAUAUAUGAUAUGUGACCCCAAAGGGGUCAGGUUAGGAACCACUGAUGUAUAUGCACAUGUGUGUAAGGAUAUCUGAUAUGUGAAAGGGUCACUUGACCCUUGAGGAGUGCAACCCAUGGGUUGAGAACCAUUAUAUUGAGUCAAAAGCAACUUUCAAGUAUCUAGUCAAAAUAUUAGUUCAAUUUCUGAUGUGCUAGGUAAGCAAUUCCUCAGUGUCCGCUACUGUUAUCUCCAGCAGGAAGCAACUAUCUGUUUCAGGAAUUGUGUACUCUAAGAAUAUAACUUAGAUGUAGACGACGAUGAAGGCAGCUUAUCACAGACUUUGGUGAACAAGAUCACCAUGUGGCUCUCUGGGGAGUUAACCAAUUCUAUUAGAUCUUUUCUUUCAGAGUCUGUCUUUUAAAUACCCCCACUCUUCUUGGAGCUGAGCCACAAUUUUCAACCAGGGAGUGCUUGUUCACUUUAAGGUGCAUUUGGCAAUGUUUCAAAGAGGGACUUUUAUUUGUCAUAAAAUGUAGUUCAUGAUUGCCAGGAAUGCUUCUGUCAUCCUACAAUGCACAGAUUUGCUGGAGCCCACAGUGUAGGUGCUAAAGUUGACAAACACUGAGCCAGAGGACAUGAAGGUGUUCUGUAACAACAGCAACAACCAAUCAAAGAUCCUAAGUGCUAAAAACAACUUUUUCUCUCACCUGGCAUCAUUUAUUAAUUUGCAGCUGUGAUGGUUUCUCAGAAUUCUCAAGUAAAUAUAAAAAAUAAACAGGCAUUUAGAUAGAGUUGUACUCUGACAGCAAGGAUCAAUUCUAAGAACUGGAUCUUCAGGUAAUUGUUGUGUUAUCUGAACAUUACAGAGUGAACUGAUUGAUAUAAACUAAGGCACCUGGGACAUCACUUCACUAGUAGACAUAAGUUAUCAUUAUGUAUGCAGUCUAUUACUUGCUGACUAUACACAGAGACAUGUAUUUAUGUAUAUUUUACUGGACACAGCAGUAUAGACAGUCAUAAGAGAUUGAUGGAUCGCCGAACAUUCUUUAACUUACCACUCACAGGAUACCCCUAGCAAUGACUUCUCUGUCCAAGUGCAUAUCUGCAGGUUCUAAGUUAGAACUUGGCUUUAAAAGAUAAAAGUAUUUCUCAGACUAUGGAUGUGAAAAAAAUCACUGAUCUCCAAGUGUGCCAGUCACAUAACUGAUCUGAAACCUUGAAAAAAAGAUCAAAAUUGCCCUAGUGGAAUUUCUUCAGAAAGAGAGUCAUUGAGAUAAAAACGUUGACUCAACGUCCCUCACCUACCAGAGCUGCUAGAGUUCACCUCAAAUGUAACCAGAAUGUUGAGAACACAGUAGUUUUGUUUCUGUUCUGAAAGCCAUAUUACUUUCAGAAACAAAACAUGAGUCACCUGAUCUUGCAUCUUUACAGCUCCUUCCCUUUAUUUUUUGAGACUAGCUCUCUCAGUGAACUUAGAGCUCAUCAAUUCAGCUACACUGGCUGGCCAGCAAGCCCCAGGGAUCAUGCUGUCUCUACCUUCUCUUGCACAGUGAAUACUUUACUGAUGGAGCUCCCUCUGUAGCCCCCAAGUGUAUACUUUAAUGACCUGUCUGUUCCAAAAGAGUUUGUUUACUAAGAAUUUGGUUAAUCUCUUUUUAUAUCUCUCCCUUGCUGUUGAUAUUUCUAAAUGGUAAGUGAUUCUUGAUUGUCUGGUUAUAUUUAUAAAAAGAGAGCUUACAUUAGUAGCCUGAAGCCUGACUUGACAUGUAACCAGUGGAUCCCAAGCUUUGGGGGACACAACUUGGUUUUCUUUACUUUUAUAAAGUUACCAGGAUAUUUGAAGACACAGUGAGGUUCUAACUAAAAUCAGGAGCUGGACUGGCUUCCCUUUAUUUGGCUUUGGCUUCAAAAUUGUUGAGAAUCUCAGAGAAGGGAAACAAUGAGAUUUGGGUAAAGGCUACUGUCCCAGAGAAGCUGAUCUUUAAGAAUGAAAACAAACUAUUGGUGCCCUGGGUGUAUGCAACAGCAAUACAGCUCUAGAGCAACAAAGAAAGUGAGCAGAGCAGAGGCAGCUUCAUCACUAGCCUUUCCUCUCGGGCUGAUUGCUUCUGCACUUGCUUUCUAUAGGACUGAGAUGCUGGGCUCAUCUCCUUCAUUCUGGCUUGCUCUGAUUGGAUGGACAUUUUGGACCAUUGCCAUAGAUACUCAUUGACCUUGUGCAUUUAUAUUUGGGGAUCAGGAUGUACUGUUGUCAUUCUUGAGGCAGAGAGCCACAGCCUUCCCAGCACACUCAAAGGCAGUCUGAAAAUUCAGCAUCCACAUGCAAGAAAAAGAAAUGUAUUUGUCCUCUAUUAAUAGAUGGAUGGACAGCCUGGGCUUGAACUGUCUAUACCAAGUUGUUCCAGUGUCCCUGUUACUUCCACAUAUUAACCUGAGUUUCAGCGCUUUAGACGGAGGCUAGCAGAUGUUGAGUAAAAAACCACUGUGUGGAUCUUAAGAGCUCCAGGAACCUUCAACCCAGUGCCUCAGCCAACUUGGAGGUUCUCCAAAUUCUCUUGUGGACAUUUUGUAUCUAGGCAGCAGACAGAGCAAGGGUUUGAAGCAGCAUUUCUCAACUUCAGAAUUUGUGGUGACUAAUUUGCAACCAUUUCCAACGAAGCCACCUAGGAAGGAGAGGAACAGUUGGGACAUGUCCCAUCAGUACUUGGGACACUUUCCUGUGGGAGACCCUCCUAUUUAUAAAGCCAGACCAGGAAAAACCUGUCUCAAGCAAUGGUGGGGACAGCUAUUUGCAAGCCAGCUGUCAGCAGCAGCAGGAAACAUAACUCAAUGUGACCAGUUCUGCAGCUUGAGAAUUCCUUCCAGGAUCAUCACUCAGGUGUAGCCAGGAUCUUCACACACACACACACACACACACACACACACACACACAAUUUCAAGCUUCUUCUCUGACCAGAGAAGACCUUUGGAGACUGGAGAUCAGACACUUCGCCCUGGGAGGCUUCAACUGAAGACAGAGAUCCCUCUGCACCCCGUGAACACUCCACUCCACCCUUGAAGUCCUAGGUCAUCCCCAUUGCCCCAUAGCCUAAACGGCCUUUGCUUAGCUCUAUGUUGGAUUCAGCCAUUGUGCCCCUCCUUCUUUGGGACUUGCACUGAAUCUGUGUGGCUCCCAUGUUUAGUGUAUAAUAAGUUUGUAUGUUCUUCUUCCUUAAUUAAUUUAUCUCCGCACAAACUCAAAUUAUCAAAACCUCAAAGGGGGAAAAAUGGAAACAUUCCUACUUUGCACUGAGCCCUCCUAGAUAAUAACCCAAGAAAAUUUUUCUUAUCUUGAAGUCAAUGGGUUAGAAAACUGAAUUCCAUCUUUAAGCCUUAAAAUCUUGUUCUUUCACCUUACAAAUAGUCAGUCUCCCUUAAAGGUGCUGCCCUUGAUGGGGUGACCACACUAGAGUAGAUGGCAUGAGCACAAAUUGAACUCUGUGGGUUAUUAAAAAAAACGUGAAGUUAGGAGAGUGGGACAUGGACAUAGGAGGAGGUGGCGUAGAAGGCAGGGUGUGUCUGAUCACAAAUGCAUUGUAUGAAUGUAUGACUUUUCAAAGAAUUAAUAAAAACAACAUAUUCAACAACAACAAAUUCCUAAUCCCUGUCAUCAGAGAGGCAGAGUUGAAUCCAGAGGUUCACAACCACCCAUGCUCAGCAGCCUAUGAAUCAAAUUGUCUGUGUGGAUUUUACUAUAAAAUAGAUGGUUUUAUUACAUUUCACUGUCUGGUACCUAUUAAAUGUUCUGCAUAAGUGAGUAAGUUCAGUUUUUGUGUUGUCAAUUGCCCAUGCCUAUGUUUUUCAGCUAGCCUAGAAUUUACUAUGCAGACUUGGUUAGCCUCAAACUUGCAGAAAUCUGCCUGUGCUUCCCAAGUACAAAAGGGUGUGUUGGUUUUGCCUUUUAAAGGUUGGUUUUAACAGCCCUGGAAUCACCCAGCAGCCGACAACUACAUAUUAGUCACCAGGAGCUGGAACAAUUCUUCUAUGUAUACUCCAGCUAACAAUAAUUUUGUGGUUUAGAAAAAAAUGUUCCCUGAAGGGAAGGUUUAAAUUAAAAUAAACUGAGGAGAUAUUCUAUUUACCAAACCGCCAGCGGUGCCAGUUUGGGAUGUAAAUAUUCUUUAGAAAGUCUUAUGCUAGGCACUAGGCUCCUAGUAAACUGAUGACAAAUCAGUGGCCAAGACCCUCAUACAUUACAGGACUCAUAUCAGGAAAGGUAUCUAUUGUCUUAAUUCUUUUGAUGUAACUUUCCAACUUCAAAAUGCUCUUAGUUGGGCGUUGGUGGCACACGCCUUUAAUCCCAGCACUCGGGAGGCAGAGGCAAGCGGAUCUCUGUGAGUUCCAGGCAAGCCUGGUCUCCAGAGCAAGUGCCAGGAUAGGCUCCAAAGGUACAUAGAGAAACCCUGUCUCAAAAAACAACAACAAAAAAUGUUCUUAGUUGUCUGUGGCUAAAACCUGUGCAUGCAGUUGGGUUGUAAAUAUACAGCCAUACAUCUAGCUUGAAAAUGAAGCUCCUUGGACUUAUUUAAAUGUUGUAGGUACUCAAGAGAUUGAGGUUGGUUUUAAAAUGCCCAAAUAUGGGUGUAAAAUGAUUAAUUAACAACAUAAAAGCUAAUUUUCAGUGUCAAAUACCCCAAAUUUUCAAUGUCUACAAACCC
RNAcentral lists this long non-coding RNA (4961 nucleotides) under Cricetulus griseus (Chinese hamster). RNAcentral describes it as "lncRNA (ENSCGRG00015028981.1)". The record is from RNAcentral. Lineage: Eukaryota; Metazoa; Chordata; Mammalia; Rodentia; Cricetidae.